UCUCUAUGCAAAGUGAACUUCCUCACAGUCUGCUAUAAAGACUUGAUAUCAUGCUGUCAGUUGCAGCAGAAGAAGAGAAGCUCCCAUCAGAUCACCUUCAAUAGCAACCAUGUUCUCUGUAGCUCUGCUGCUGCUGCUGGCUGCUGGAUCCUGUGUGAACAGUAUUGAUCUCAUCCAGACAGACUCAAUGGUUGUGCAGCCUGGACAGUCUCUGACCAUCAGCUGUCAGGUCUCUGGUUAUUCUUUGAUUGAUAACAGCUAUGCAACAGGUUGGAUCAGACAGAGUGAAGGAAAACCAAUGGACUGGAUUUCCCAUCAGUGGGGAACAAGUGGCCUUUACCAAAAUAAUGCUCUGAAGAACAAGUUCAGCUACAGCAGAGACACUUCUGCUCUAACAGUGACUCUAAAAGGACAGAAUGUGCAGCCUGAGGACACAGCUGUGUAUUACUGUGUACGUUACCCCACAGUGAUACAAACCACCAACUGACCUGCACAAAUACCCAGCAACCAGCAAGACUCAA
This is a non-coding RNA of Sander lucioperca (pikeperch), 521 nucleotides long. The record is from the annotation of a RefSeq genome assembly. NCBI's taxonomy places the organism in Eukaryota, Metazoa, Chordata, Actinopteri, Perciformes, Percidae.